UUCACUCUGGGACAAGCCCUGGAAACGGGGUCUAAUACCGGAUAAUACUCCUGCCUGCAUGGGCGGGGGUUAAAAGCUCCGGCGGUGAAGGAUGAGCCCGCGGCCUAUCAGCUUGUUGGUGGGGUAAUGGCCCACCAAGGCGACGACGGGUAGCCGGCCUGAGAGGGCGACCGGCCACACUGGGACUGAGACACGGCCCAGACUCCUACGGGAGGCAGCAGUGGGGAAUAUUGCACAAUGGGCGAAAGCCUGAUGCAGCGACGCCGCGUGAGGGAUGACGGCCUUCGGGUUGUAAACCUCUUUCAGCAGGGAAGAAGCGAAAGUGACGGUACCUGCAGAAGAAGCGCCGGCUAACUACGUGCCAGCAGCCGCGGUAAUACGUAGGGCGCAAGCGUUGUCCGGAAUUAUUGGGCGUAAAGAGCUCGUAGGCGGCUUGUCACGUCGGAUGUGAAAGCCCGAGGCUUAACCUCGGGUCUGCAUUCGAUACGGGCUAGCUAGAGUGUGGUAGGGGAGAUCGGAAUUCCUGGUGUAGCGGUGAAAUGCGCAGAUAUCAGGAGGAACACCGGUGGCGAAGGCGGAUCUCUGGGCCAUUACUGACGCUGAGGAGCGAAAGCGUGGGGAGCGAACAGGAUUAGAUACCCUGGUAGUCCACGCCGUAAACGUUGGGAACUAGGUGUUGGCGACAUUCCACGUCGUCGGUGCCGCAGCUAACGCAUUAAGUUCCCCGCCUGGGGAGUACGGCCGCAAGGCUAAAACUCAAAGGAAUUGACGGGGGCCCGCACAAGCAGCGGAGCAUGUGGCUUAAUUCGACGCAACGCGAAGAACCUUACCAAGGCUUGACAUAUACCGGAAAGCAUUAGAGAUAGUGCCCCCCUUGUGGUCGGUAUACAGAGGUGUGCUGGGCUGUCGUCAGCUCGUGUCGUGAGAUGUUGGGUUAAGUCCCGCAACGAGCGCAACCCUUGUCCUGUGUUGCCAGCAUGCCCUUCGGGGUGAUGGGGACUCACAGGAGACCGCCGGGGUCAACUCGGAGGAAGGUGGGGACGACGUCAAGUCAUCAUGCCCCUUAUGUCUUGGGCUGCACACGUGCUACAAUGGCCGGUACAAUGAGCUGCGAUACCGUGAGGUGGAGCGAAUCUCAAAAAGCCGGUCUCAGUUCGGAUUGGGGUCUGCAACUCGACCCCAUGAAGUCGGAGUUGCUAGUAAUCGCAGAUCAGCAUUGCUGCGGUGAAUACGUUCCCGGG
Molecule: ribosomal RNA, 1241 nt
Filed under: Streptomyces sp.
Lineage: Bacteria; Bacillati; Actinomycetota; Actinomycetes; Kitasatosporales; Streptomycetaceae
Description: bacterial SSU rRNA
Rfam family: Bacterial small subunit ribosomal RNA
Source: RNAcentral